CGGGCCUAACACAUGCAAGUCGAACGAGAAAAUCCCUUCGGGGGUGAGUACAGUGGCGCACGGGUGAGGAACGCGUAGGUAAUCUACCCUCUGGCGGGGGACAACACUCCGAAAGGAAUGCUAAUACCGCGUAAGACCACACCUACUACGGUAGGAGCGGUUAAAGGUGCCUCAAAGCACCACCAGAGGAUGAGCCUGCGUCCCAUCAGCUUGUUGGUAAGGUAACGGCUUACCAAGGCGAAGACGGGUAGCUGGUCUGAGAGGAUGAUCAGCCACACUGGUACUGGAACACGGACCAGACUCCUACGGGAGGCAGCAGUGAGGAAUAUUGGGCAAUGGGCGCAAGCCUGACCCAGCCACGCCGCGUGUGUGAUGAAGGCCUUCGGGUCGUAAAGCACUGUGGGGAGAGACGAAACAGCGCAUCAGGAAAUGGUUGCGCCUUGACGGUACCUCCUUAGCAAGCACCGGCUAACUCUGUG
This 479-nucleotide ribosomal RNA is filed under the name uncultured bacterium. RNAcentral describes it as "bacterial SSU rRNA". It matches the Rfam family "Bacterial small subunit ribosomal RNA", at positions 43 to 507 of the family's 1533-position model. The record is from RNAcentral.